CCAGCCCAGCCCAGCCAGCUCCAGCUCGCGCUUCUGGAUCUAUCGCCCAACACGUGGGGGCUCUUUUUCCGCGGCGGAAACUUUCGAGGGAUACUUGCUGCCAACUUGGACACACGCGCUCGGUGACAGCGGCGUGGGACUCUCGCGGGUGGCGGAAUCUAACCGCGCGGAUCCAGGCGCCCUUUCCGGGCAGGGGGGUGUGCCUCUCUUCCUUCUCCCGCGAUCGGAAUCCCGCUCCCACGUUUCUGACUCUCCGGUGCUCCGGGCAUUCGCUCCCCGCCGCCGCUCCCUUUUCCUAGCGCAGAAAAAUGUGGCCAGCGAGCCUUUUUAACGAUCCAGCUCUGGUUUUCCUGAGGGGCGGGAGCUCACCCCACCCGUGCCUGCCGUACCUCCUAGUUUUUGUGCCGUCCAGUGUAACUCAAGAAGACCUGGCAAGGACGAGGGAGGCCAAGCAAGUUAAAUCCACAGGAACGCGCCGGGGUUGCUCGCCGUCCCCCCUGACAGAAGGGUUUUGACGCACACAUGGUGUUCCCCAGAAGAGGUCAGUCAGUGUCAGACAACCCCACAGAGUCCUUUGACCUGAUUCCAUCAAGUCCAGUGUACACGCCAGAAGGCCUUUUCUGCCUGAGAGCUACUGUACAACAGUUUAUAUCUCAGCUGGUUUCGUUUUUAUGAGCUUGAAGCUGAGGGCUCUGCUUCCAAGAAGCAUUUCUUGACUGACGACUAUACAGAACAUAACAACUUGUACCCAUGCUGCAAAGUUUCAACUGCACAGGGCAAUCUUUUAUACUAAAUUCCCCAACCACUUUCCAAACUUGAUGUUAAUCCCAGAAAGGGAAUGUCUACAUGAGUGUCAAUCUGGUAUAGGCAUGGAGAACCUGUCACUCUUUUGGAUUUUGCAAAGUUACUAUUCCUUUCAUCCCAAACAGCAUGGCCAUGGAGAGGAAAGCCAGGAGUCAUAACUCAAGAAGUUCUGGAAAAGCACAAAUUCCCCACUCCAGAUCCAGAGCUUUCUUUUUAUUUUGGUUCAUUUGGCUGACUCUUAGCUAAGGCUGUGGCUUUCCUGUCACUAUUCUUACUAGAGAUGAAAGUUAGAAGUUACUAACUUCUAAAGUUAGAAUAUUUGACACUUUAGAUUAGCUGAAAGCAGUCUUCUUUAAUCUGAAGCCUCCUAGAUGAGAUGAACUAUAGCCUACAUCACCCCUGACUGGCAAUUGGGAAUGGUGGGAGGUGUAGUCCUACAUAUUUGGAAGGCAGCUGGGACAGGGUGGUCUACAGAAAUGAGAUCACCCUGAAGAGCUCUAUAGAAGCUGGUCUCCAUCACAAUAUGAAUGGAUGUAACUUGAACAGGUAAGCAGAAAAGCAGCUGGUCAGCUGUUGGCUAAGGAAAGGAUGCCUGAAGGACAACUUCACCUCCUCAUGCUCACCUAGCCAACUGGUUAUGCUAUUCCUGUGCAGUGCUAGACGCUGGAUCAAUUACCUAGUUCAAGAAAGGACAUAUUAGUGCAACUAAUUUUUUUAUCAGCUAAGGGUACAUGCACAGAAUUCUACUUUUCCUAAUUAUAUCAAGUCAGUUGCUGCUGGCUAUUAUAAUGUGCCGAAAGCAUUGUUGUAUGUCAAAUGCUUCCAAAAUAAAUACAACUUAAAAUAAAUGCUUGGGAUUUCUCAGUUCAUUGUAUUUGUACUCUGCUACUGUCUUCCAGGAAACUCAGUAAAGCAGAUAUGAGAUCAUUUCGUUUUGUCUCCAUGAAGCGGGCUAUUUUUUGAGCAGUGGGAUCAUCCACUGAGAAUUAUAGCUAAGCCAAGAUUUGAAUCCAGACUUCCCAGAUGAAAUCUAGCAUCCUACGAAAAUAAAAUAUGGAUAGGGUUCCCCCGCCCCCCCAGGA
Molecule: non-coding RNA, 1886 nt
Organism: Python bivittatus (Burmese python)
Lineage: Eukaryota; Metazoa; Chordata; Lepidosauria; Squamata; Pythonidae
Source: RefSeq, a predicted model, not a curated record